RNAcentral lists this ribosomal RNA (372 nucleotides) under Rhipicephalus zambeziensis. RNAcentral's name for it is "partial 12S ribosomal RNA". The record is from RNAcentral. Lineage: Eukaryota; Metazoa; Arthropoda; Arachnida; Ixodida; Ixodidae.
CCCUAUUAUUUAAGAGCUGAAUAUUGUUAGUAUAUAAAGAUUAUGAAAGCAAAAAGUUAUGGCGGUAUUUUAAGCUUUUCAGAGGAAUUUGCUCUUUAAUGGAUAAAACACCAAAAUCUUACUUAAAUUUGUCAAAUCAACUUGUAUACCACUAUUAAAACAAUUAUUAACUCUAAUUGUUAAUAUUUAAAAUUUUAUAAUUAAUUAAAAUUAAGUCAAGGUGCAGUAAAAAUUUAAGAAUGAAGUGAAUUACAUUACUUUAAAGGGAAAUAAAAUUAAAUAAAAAUUAGGAUUUGAAAGUAAAAUUAAAAUAGAAUGUUAAUUUGAAUUAAGCUCUAAAAUAUGUACAUAUCGCCCGUCACUCUUUUUUAA